RNAcentral lists this ribosomal RNA (486 nucleotides) under uncultured bacterium. Its description in RNAcentral is "partial 16S ribosomal RNA". It matches the Rfam family "Bacterial small subunit ribosomal RNA", at positions 355 to 819 of the family's 1533-position model. The record is from RNAcentral.
UGGGGAAUUUUGGACAAUGGGCGAAAGCCUGAUCCAGCAAUGCCGCGUGUGUGAAGAAGGCCUUCGGGUUGUAAAGCACUUUUGUCCGGAAAGAAAUCCUCUGGGUUAAUACCUCGGGGGGAUGACGGUACCGGAAGAAUAAGCACCGGCUAACUACGUGCCAGCAGCCGCGGUAAUACGUAGGGUGCAAGCGUUAAUCGGAAUUAGCUGGGCGUAAAGCGUGCGCAUGGCGGUUUUGUAAGACGGAUGUCGGAAAUUCCCCAGGGCUUAAGCCAUGGGAAUCUGCAUUCGUGACGUGCAAGGCUAGAGGAUAUGGCAGGGAGGGGGGUAGAAUUCCCACGUGUAGCAGUGAAAUGCGUAGAGAUGUGGAGGAAUACCGAUGGCGAAGGCAGCCCCCUGGGCCAAUACUGACGCUCAUGCACGAAAGCGUGGGAGCAAACAGGAUUAGAUACCCUGGUAGUCCACGCCCUAAACGAUGUCAACUAG